Erinaceus europaeus (western European hedgehog) is the source of this 286-nucleotide long non-coding RNA. RefSeq lists it as uncharacterized. The transcript is spliced from 3 exons. The record is from RefSeq and is a predicted model, not a curated record. Lineage: Eukaryota; Metazoa; Chordata; Mammalia; Eulipotyphla; Erinaceidae.
GGAGCAGAAAGGCACAGACAUUUUGACUAGGCUAUCAGAUUCAGAAAGCAGCUGUGAUGAACAGAGUCCCAGAAAGUGGAGAAACCGCUCCUGGAAUUGCACCCCCAAAGCAACAGGUACCUCUCCAGCAGAAGGACACAAUGAACACUCCUCAAAUACCAGAAAAAGGAAGACUCUGGAUGGUGGCCAUGAGAACCAUAGAUAUCCCAGAUCAAGCCCCUGCACACACAAGAGAAGAUUGACUGGACACAGGCAGAGGUCCCAAACCCUCAGGCCAGCAGCCUCC